Molecule: non-coding RNA, 5542 nt
Organism: Elaeis guineensis (African oil palm)
Lineage: Eukaryota; Viridiplantae; Streptophyta; Magnoliopsida; Arecales; Arecaceae
Source: RefSeq, a predicted model, not a curated record
AAUGGAAAAAAAGAAAAAAUUCGCGCAUAGCACCCCGACCCCGUGCUUGAACCGCGGGCGGCGCGCGCGCGUCUGCACCGCCCGCGGUGCACAAAGAAUUCCUCGAUACAAAUAAGCAUCCAGGCCGAGGGCCCACCCUGCUCCGGUCUUCUCCUGAUUCAUCCACGCUAUUCCGGGAAAGAAGAGGAUCUCUCUCUUCUGGAAACCAUAAUCUCCUCCAAGAAUUCCGAGGUCCCUCUUCAACGAAAGAGGAGGACGUUGCCGGAGAAUGGGAAUCAUGGUGGUCUCAAACCCUACAUUCUUGCCAGCGAUACUUAGAGGAGAUCCUUCUGGUCGGGACGUUGUUAAAAGUGACUCUUUCUUUAUCUCACUGAAUAGGCUAUCUGUUUCCAUGAUCUGUUUUGAGAUGGCCAUUUUUAAUCCUUUGAUGGAACUAGCUGAAGCGAUCAUAGCUUCAGUAAAACUAGAUCGUUUCGUUGCGUUGAACUCGAUCCUGGUUUUGUGGUUGUCCGAAGCAAUCGCCGUAUCAAAGUUAGGUGAUCUUCUUGAAAGUGGAUUCAAACCGUUGGAUCUAAAAGCAAAACGAAGCUCUUGUAACAUGUUCUCAGUACUCUGCUUCGAAGGAUCCAAGAACAAAGAAAGAUGGGGCCGUCGUGGUGCCGAAGCCAUAGAUGACACCAUUCCUAUUCUAUGGAGGAUUGAAACCCUAGAUUCUCUCUCCAAGGAGAUCUGGUAUGUUGUUAACGUUAUCCUCUCUUGAUCUAAUUCUUAUAUCUAUCGAUUCUUGAAGGUGUGUUCUGUUCUCAGUCACCUGUUCAAAGAUUGGCUGUGUUUUCUUCCUUCGAUUUGAUCAUAAGGUCAGUACUUAUUCUUGUGGAGUUCUUUAUGUUGAUCUGAAAACAAGGUGAAGCUCAGUUUAUUUGUUUUCAUACACUCGGUACUUUGGUUCACUAAUUCUUAUCUGCGUAAUAUGCAAAAUCAUAUCCACAGACCCUAUUUACGAUGACUUGUUUUGAAAAUGCACAUCAUCGUUUCCACCAAAAAAAGAAAAAGAAAAAGAAAAAGAAAAAAUGCACACGAUCAUCAUUCUGCCCAACACAUUAGGCAGUCCAAUCUGUUGUUAAACUAUCAAUUGCCUAAUUACAAAAUAUUUAUGGGUGUAUUUGGUUUGCGACUGGAAUUGUAAUGGAAACUGGAAUGGCUAUAUCCCCCGACACAUUUGAUAUUUGAUAUUUAUGAUUAGAAUCAAAAUCGGAACUGGAAUGGGAUUUGAAUACUAUGAGAGAAUAGGGAUUGAGUUUUGGGAGAUUGAGGCAUUCUCAUUUCUUCCUGGAAUUAGAAUGGGAAUGGGAGUUCCCCAAACAAAUGGCUGAAAUGAGAGUCAUUCGUUCUCAUUCCCAUUCCAGAGUCUAACACCCUUCCCCCCCCCAUUGGUUUCUCACGUUUAAUAUUUGCCAUGCUAUCAAUGCAUGCUACUAUAUAGUUAACUGGUAAUGCUUGUGGAUAAUGUUCGAUCUUGCAUUUUGCCUAGAAUGAAAAUAUUGGAUUGCUAUUUGUUUAUGGGCUAUACUUUUAUUUAUAUUUUAGAGAUUUUUAUUUUUUUCUCACUCUAUGUCACUCUAGAUAGAGUUGCCGGUGAUGGUUUUGAUUGUUCAUUAUUAUAAUGAUUUAAUAACUCAUACUCGAUUGGUUGUUCCCCAUUGUUGAAUAGGUCUGUCUUUUGUAUUGAACUCAAAUUAGUGUGGUUGCUUUGCAAAUAUAAUGUAGCAGUCAAAUGCCCAACUGCACCUCCACGUAAAGUCUCAUCUCUGUAGCAUCCUACUACAUGCAGAAGCCAAUAGCUUACAACUGAUCUGAUUAUCUAUAUGCAGAUGAAGCUUGUGUUUAAGGGGUUCAACCUGAAAUUAAUGGGGAAUAGCCCAAGGGGACAAUCAGGAAUAUUUUAUAAUUUAAAUUAUUGGUUUGUCAGCCUUGACUGCAUUUUAAAUGUUUGCUGGCAUCUAGGAGACCAUGCUUUCAUGUAAUAUUCUGUUGCUUUUUGAGCAUUUCAUAAUUUUUUUGGUGUGCCCUUUUUUUUGGAAAAAGCAUGGUACAGAAAUUCAUGUUGUCUCCGAUCCUACUUAUAGUUUGAGGUAUGGGAAAAAGGACUUCGAUGGGCAGCAUCCUCGCUAAAUCACUAACAGCCACAAAGUAUUCAGAUUUCGGAUCAUCUUCCAGCACCCUCUCAUGAUGUGAUUUUGCCCGAUUGAAGAAUCUGUCAAGUUAAGUCCCAUUUUAUGUUCAUUUUAGAUGCUAAAUUGUUUCAUUUGUGCAUAUUGCAGGAAGGAAAUUAAUUCUUAUGCAGAAUGUGGGAAAGGUCUGACACAUACUAUGUAUGUACGAAGUUUUGACAAAUCCCUUGAAGAGUAUCAGUUUUUUGUAAAAAAAAGAAAAAUAGAUUAAUUCGAUAUUGAUAUUCUUGUGCAUGUCUUAGUUUUGAGCUUAUUGCGGAUUCAAAGUUCCCUUGAAGAGCAUUUUUUAUAUUGCUCACAGGUUUACUUUCUAAAUCUACCAUCCUCUGCUUUGCCAGCUGUGAGUUCCUUUUGUUGGACCAUGGUAUCCAUCCUUCUUUCAAUACCUAACCUCCUGUUUUACCUCUCUUUGUCAAGGUGAUCUCUUUUCAUCAAGAUGAUUUACUGCUUUUUAAUCAGUUCAUUUUCUUUUUUUCUAUUUUUGCAUUUCAUCUAUAUGAUAUCCUUUUGUUUUUGUUUUUGUUUUUGUUUUUUUUUCCCAAUUUUUGUUGUGGGAUUAAUUUUGGUAUUUGAAAUCUUAUUACCUGCAUUGAAUUUAUUUCUAAAUUUGUUGCCCUUUUUUAAGAUUAGCCUCGUGUUUUUUGUAUCUGGUUCUAUCUUGCUCUUCGCCUUGAACAAAAGUGUUGCUUACUUUCUGUUUAUAGACUAUUAUAAUGUUGCUCAUAUUUUAGACCUUUUUAUUUUCUCACUAUUCCCUACCAUGCCAUACUUCCAAAUUUUCUUAUUAAACUCAAGGUACUGUAAUUCUAUUCUAGAUUUAAACUAGCAAUUAAAUGUGCAACAAUCCUAGACGAAGUCUCAUCUUUGCAAUAUCCUGUCAUGUGCAAAAGCCACAAUUUAGAAGUAAUUUGAUUAUCUACAUGCAGAUGAAGCUUGAGUUAAGAAGUUGUGAGAUUAGUGCAGGUGUGUUUUUAAUCCUAUAUUGGUUAUACAAUAUGAAAGUUUUGAAUACUUAUAUAGGAUUAAAGAGACCAAAUAAUAUCUUCUGACUAGGCUUUUUAUGUGAGAUCCGAGGUAAUUAUGAAUGAUAUUAUAACAGUCCUAGUCCAUGGUGCAUGUGAACUACGGUAUACUAUGUAGACCCUUUUAGACUUGAUCAUGGGCGGAUCAUGAUGUUUGUGAUUAGAUUCUGAUUGAAUUUGGAUUCUUAGCUUAAACAAGGAUGCUAUGACUCAAGUAAGGGAGUAUUUGAGGACCAUGCAGGAGUGUUUAGUCCUACAUGCUUAUGUACUAGGAAAAUUUUGGAUACUUAUACGAGAUGAAAAACCUAAAUAGUAUCAUUUAGCUAGCUUUUUGGAUAAGGUGCUUGGUUGUUGCAGGUGUUCAACUAGAAAUCCAUAUGGAAGUACCCAAGUGAGGCAAUUAGGAAUAUGCUAAUGACCGGGUAACCUGCCCUAACCACAUUUUGAAGUCUAUUAGUGCCUUGGUGAUUAUGUCUUCAUCCAAAAAUAUGUUUAUUGUAUGUAUGGUGCUUGUAGAGCUACUUAUCUAUUAAAAACAUUCCACAGCUCGUUACUGAUUUGUAGCCAUGCCAUAUACUUGCCUAACUUGAAAUAUGCUGUUCUCAGGAUAUAAAGAGCAGCACAUUGUAACAGAAAGAAUGUGUUCGGUGCUCAGUACAGAGCUCUUUUUGUCAUCUAGAAUAGCUAUGCAUUCUUCUUAUCUGAGUUACUCAUGCUAAUAUAGGAAACUACGCUCGAUGACUUCAUACAUUUUUUAGCUUUUUUAGCAGUUCUUCAGCUAAAUAUCUAUUGCAAAGUAAAGGGAGCUAAAUUCUGUUGGAGAAUUGGCUCCUAAACAGAUCUUUGUAAUACCUUUACUAAUAUCACCAUAUGACCUUUGAAGUGAAAUUUAGUUCACGAAAACACUUGGAGGCUAAAGCCUAUACGUGAUUGUUGGAUGAGCCACGGCUCCUACAUUAAGCAGGUCCCAGAAUGUGAUCCUCGUUCCGGGACUUCUCUGAACAACAGCAGCAGCAUAAUUUCUUUUCUCAAUUAAGAAAAUACUACAGUGCAAGUUAAUUUACCUUGGUAAGGUAUCUGCUGUUUCGCUAAUAAAUAAGAUUUUUUUAAAAAAAAAAUAUUGAGAAGUCUAGGACCCCAACAACAAGAAAAGAGAUAUAGUAGAAUUACAAUCUUUUAGAAGGCCACAACGGAAAUUUUAGUAUGAAGAGUGAUUUGUAGAUUUGGAGGAAGGUUCAAUUUGGAACAGUAUCCAUAUACCACUGGAUGCUAGCCAGUUAGCAGCCUGGUUAGCUUCAUGGAAAAACAUGACUUGCUUUGAAAAAUUGAUGUGAUGAUGCUAGUAUGUAGAUACCCUGUGGUAGGGGAUUGACCUUUCAAUGUGGGUGCGGCAUUGUUCAUCCAAUGAAUGACAGUAGCAGAGUCCCUUUAAAGCAAGAUAUUAAGAGCAUUUGAUGUCAUGGACGGCCACCAUUAGCCCUUCUCAUGCUGCCCUUAGCACAUUUGUUGGCACAGAGCUAGUAUGGACACGAGAACGAGCAUAGAUGACCCGGCCUUUGAGCAAUUCCGUUGAUGAAACCUGCAUUGGCAUGGACCUCUUUGAUGGUGCUGUCAAAGUUCACCUUCGGCAUGUUCUGGGAGGGGUAUCCAAGAAAUAUAAGUUGGACCGUUCUUCUAGAGCGUACAGAGCUGCCAGUGCCCUGGUCCAGAAACAACUGAUAUCCACAAAAUUGAUAGCAGCCUCAAAGAAUUCCAAUGUCAACCGAUUAGCAAGAUCACCAAUAUACUGCAGCUCAGGAGAAUCCUGAAACACUGGUUUCUUGUGUUUCAUAAUAACCAAACAGUAUUACAGACUAACUGUAGAAUUCAGGUCUUUGGGGGUUUGAAAUGGGCGUCAAUAUUGACUCUUGAGAGGCAAAAAUAUGCAAGUUGAGUUGCUAUGUAAGGAAUUAAGAAGGCCUUUGAGAGAUAAUGUCGGACCUAAGUAAAGCAAUCUCAUUCGACCAGAAGAGUUUUGACUCUAUGAGUUACUGAUUACCUCCAAAUCCAGUUGAAAUUAUGAUUAGCUGAAGCUGGGGACCAACUAGCUAUGGAGGUCUACAUAUCGCUGACCCUCAACUAGGUACUUCCAGUUUCAGUCCGAAUCAUUUGGUCCUCACUAGUACCUCAGGAAUAAGUGUUCUGAUAACCCUGUGAGCCAAAUCUUCUGGUAGAGUUUCAUUCAACAUAGGAAUAUUUCAUCCACCAUGGUCAUUGUAAAAUUAAGAAAAGUUAAUGUUCCCCAAAGCA